CCGAGUUUACAACUCAUCAACCCCUGUGAACAUUACCUAUACUGUCGCUUCGGCGGAUCAGACCGCUCCCGGUAAAACGGGCCGGCCCCGCCAGAGGACCCCUAACUCUGUUUUAUAUGUAAUUUCUGAGUAAACAAUCAAAUAAAUUA
RNAcentral lists this unclassified non-coding RNA (149 nucleotides) under soil metagenome. Its description in RNAcentral is "partial internal transcribed spacer 1". The record is from RNAcentral.